AUUGUAUCAUCUUCUUCAAGUUACCAGCCGAACCUUACCUCUCUCCAUAGCUGGGGUUUUUUCCAACUUUCAAGCUUCAUAAUCAAGAAGAGCGAAAUUCGAGAGUAGAUCGGGGAAAAGAAAAAGUAAAGGACUAAAUUGUAAAGUUUAGUCACAUUUUGUAUCGAGUACUUAUCUAGCCACUCGGGGAUCGAAGGAAACGUCGGAGGCCGAUCACACUAUCAAAGAAAUAACUCGGUAUAAUUAGACAUUUUGUUUUGUGUAUGGCAUGUAUAGAAACUUAGCCACUUUUGGUAUUAUAUGAACAAUGAAUAGUGUGUAAAUACUUGCUAGUGAUUAGCUAAUAAAAAUGGCCGAUGAUAUGCAUG
Molecule: long non-coding RNA, 368 nt
Organism: Gossypium arboreum
Lineage: Eukaryota; Viridiplantae; Streptophyta; Magnoliopsida; Malvales; Malvaceae
Exons: 3
Source: RefSeq, a predicted model, not a curated record